RNAcentral lists this ribosomal RNA (1453 nucleotides) under Streptococcus thermophilus. RNAcentral's name for it is "bacterial SSU rRNA". It matches the Rfam family "Bacterial small subunit ribosomal RNA". The record is from RNAcentral. Lineage: Bacteria; Bacillati; Bacillota; Bacilli; Lactobacillales; Streptococcaceae.
GCCCGUGGCGGCGGCUAUACAUGCAGUAGAACGCUGAAGAGAGGAGCUUGCUCUUCUUGGAUGAGUUGCGAACGGGUGAGUAACGCGUAGGUAACCUGCCUUGUAGCGGGGGAUAACUAUUGGAAACGAUAGCUAAUACCGCAUAACAAUGGAUGACACAUGUCAUUUAUUUGAAAGGGGCAAUUGCUCCACUACAAGAUGGACCUGCGUUGUAUUAGCUAGUAGGUGAGGUAAUGGCUCACCUAGGCGACGAUACAUAGCCGACCUGAGAGGGUGAUCGGCCACACUGGGACUGAGACACGGCCCAGACUCCUACGGGAGGCAGCAGUAGGGAAUCUUCGGCAAUGGGGGCAACCCUGACCGAGCAACGCCGCGUGAGUGAAGAAGGUUUUCGGAUCGUAAAGCUCUGUUGUAAGUCAAGAACGGGUGUGAGAGUGGAAAGUUCACACUGUGACGGUAGCUUACCAGAAAGGGACGGCUAACUACGUGCCAGCAGCCGCGGUAAUACGUAGGUCCCGAGCGUUGUCCGGAUUUAUUGGGCGUAAAGCGAGCGCAGGCGGUUUGAUAAGUCUGAAGUUAAAGGCUGUGGCUCAACCAUAGUUCGCUUUGGAAACUGUCAAACUUGAGUGCAGAAGGGGAGAGUGGAAUUCCAUGUGUAGCGGUGAAAUGCGUAGAUAUAUGGAGGAACACCGGUGGCGAAAGCGGCUCUCUGGUCUGUAACUGACGCUGAGGCUCGAAAGCGUGGGGAGCGAACAGGAUUAGAUACCCUGGUAGUCCACGCCGUAAACGAUGAGUGCUAGGUGUUGGAUCCUUUCCGGGAUUCAGUGCCGCAGCUAACGCAUUAAGCACUCCGCCUGGGGAGUACGACCGCAAGGUUGAAACUCAAAGGAAUUGACGGGGGCCCGCACAAGCGGUGGAGCAUGUGGUUUAAUUCGAAGCAACGCGAAGAACCUUACCAGGUCUUGACAUCCCGAUGCUAUUUCUAGAGAUAGAAAGUUACUUCGGUACAUCGGUGACAGGUGGUGCAUGGUUGUCGUCAGCUCGUGUCGUGAGAUGUUGGGUUAAGUCCCGCAACGAGCGCAACCCCUAUUGUUAGUUGCCAUCAUUCAGUUGGGCACUCUAGCGAGACUGCCGGUAAUAAACCGGAGGAAGGUGGGGAUGACGUCAAAUCAUCAUGCCCCUUAUGACCUGGGCUACACACGUGCUACAAUGGUUGGUACAACGAGUUGCGAGUCGGUGACGGCGAGCUAAUCUCUUAAAGCCAAUCUCAGUUCGGAUUGUAGGCUGCAACUCGCCUACAUGAAGUCGGAAUCGCUAGUAAUCGCGGAUCAGCACGCCGCGGUGAAUACGUUCCCGGGCCUUGUACACACCGCCCGUCACACCACGAGAGUUUGUAACACCCGAAGUCGGUGAGGUAACCUUUUGGAGCCAGCCGCCUAAGGUGACAAGAUAG